RNAcentral lists this ribosomal RNA (330 nucleotides) under uncultured eukaryote. RNAcentral describes it as "partial 18S ribosomal RNA". It matches the Rfam family "Eukaryotic small subunit ribosomal RNA", at positions 1470 to 1796 of the family's 1831-position model. The record is from RNAcentral.
CCCUUAGAUGUUCUGGGCUGCACGCGCGCUACACUGAUGCGCUCAACGAGUUUAUGACCUUGCCCGGAAGGGUUGGGUAAUCUUCUUAAAACGCAUCGUGAUGGGGAUAGAUUAUUGCAAUUAUUAAUCUUCAACGAGGAAUUCCUAGUAAGCGCGAGUCAUCAGCUCGUGCUGAUUACGUCCCUGCCCUUUGUACACACCGCCCGUCGCUCCUACCGAUUGAAUGAUCCGAUGAAUACCAUGGAUUGAGAGUACGAAUAGGUUCGCUUAUUUCUGCUUCUCGAGAAGUGGAGUAAAUCUUAUCAUUUAGAGGAAGGAGAAGUCGUAACA